Cyprinus carpio (common carp) is the source of this 696-nucleotide long non-coding RNA. RefSeq lists it as uncharacterized. NCBI's taxonomy places the organism in Eukaryota, Metazoa, Chordata, Actinopteri, Cypriniformes, Cyprinidae. The transcript has 2 exons. The record is from RefSeq and is a predicted model, not a curated record.
AUUGCAUUAAAUAUUUGCAAAUAAAUUUCCAUCCCACGUGUUUUUCCAUCGUCACUUCCAGGGAAACUGGCGCCUAUUAUACAGUAACUUUUAAUGCGAUAUCCCAAAUGUGCAAACAAAUAUGUGGAUGUAAACAGAAUUUGGUCUCCAUCUGAGAAACUGUUUCUGUUUGUUCUCCAGGUGUGCUACUCAAGGAGGAUAAAAUCACAUCAAUGCCAGUGAUUGAGGGUCAAUCUGUCACGCUACACGCUGAUCUUACUGAAAUACGGGAAAUCAACAUGAUAUGGUAGAAGUCUGCAGAUUCCAAAGAACGCAGUUGUGCUAAAUUUGUUUUAAUAGCUACUCUGAAUAAAACAAACAAUGAGGUAAACCUACAAUAUAAAGAAACAAUUCAACAAUUCAAAGACAGUUUGAAACUGAACCUCGAUAGCGGAUCUCUCACCAUCACAAGCAUCACACCUGAACAUUAUGGAUAUUAUAAACUACACAUCACCAGCAGAGAAGAGAUGGUCAUUCAUACCUUCAGUGUUGUUGCUCAUAACCUAAUGAGAAGAGAGCGGACCCAAAGCCUUCUCCAGAGGAGUCAAACCUGCCCAUUUUUACAACAGAUGUCCUCAUAGUUAGAAUAUUAUCCACUUUUCAAUUCCACUGACAAAAACAAGAAACAUUUUCCAUGUUUAACAUCCCUCAGAAUGA